Molecule: long non-coding RNA, 327 nt
Filed under: Homo sapiens (human)
Lineage: Eukaryota; Metazoa; Chordata; Mammalia; Primates; Hominidae
Description: HSALNT0374808
Source: RNAcentral
CUCUCUCUCCGGUCCGUGCCUCCAAGAUGACAAAGAAAAGAAGGAACAAUGGUCGUGCCAAAAAGGGCCGCGGCCACGUGCAGCCUAUUCGCUGCACUAACUGUGCCCGAUGCGUGCCCAAGGACAACGCCAUUAAGAAAUUCGUCAUUCGAAACAUAGUGGAGGCCGCAGCAGUCAGGGACAUUUCUGAAGCGAGCGUCUUCGAUGCCUAUGUGCUUCCCAAGCUGUAUGUGAAGCUACAUUACUGUGUGAGUUGUGCAAUUCACAGCAAAGUAGUCAGGAAUCGAUCUCGUGAAGCCCGCAAGGACCGAACACCCCCACCCCGGA